RNAcentral lists this ribosomal RNA (424 nucleotides) under uncultured bacterium. Its description in RNAcentral is "bacterial SSU rRNA". It matches the Rfam family "Bacterial small subunit ribosomal RNA", at positions 69 to 489 of the family's 1533-position model. The record is from RNAcentral.
AUGAGGGAAGCUUGCUUCCCGAUUUAGCGGCGGACGGGUGAGUAAUGCCUAGGAAUCUGCCUAUUAGUGGGGGAUAACGUUCCGAAAGGAACGCUAAUACCGCAUACGUCCUACGGGAGAAAGUGGGGGAUCUUCGGACCUCACGCUAAUAGAUGAGCCUAGGUCGGAUUAGCUAGUUGGUGGGGUAACGGCUCACCAAGGCGACGAUCCGUAGCUGGUCUGAGAGGAUGAUCAGCCACACUGGAACUGAGACACGGUCCAGACUCCUACGGGAGGCAGCAGUGGGGAAUAUUGGACAAUGGGCGAAAGCCUGAUCCAGCCAUGCCGCGUGUGUGAAGAAGGUCUUCGGAUUGUAAAGCACUUUAAGUUGGGAGGAAGGGUUGUAAGCUAAUAUCUUGCAGCUUUGACGUUACCAACAGAAUAA